This is a non-coding RNA of Vicugna pacos (alpaca), 3285 nucleotides long. Lineage: Eukaryota; Metazoa; Chordata; Mammalia; Artiodactyla; Camelidae. The record is from RefSeq and is a predicted model, not a curated record.
CCCCUGGUGGGUGGCCAGGAGGAGGAGAGUGCAGAAAGAAAGGAAAAACUUUCAGGUGGCAAGCCUUUUUUCCUGGUAGAUACCUGGAAAGGCCUUUACAUCCAGAAACAGUACUAUUCCCGCUAAGAAUAGUUGUUUUGUGCUCAAUAUGUGUCUGGUACCCAGAUGCGUGCAGAUGUCCAGCCGUGGCUGCAGCAGAUUCAUGGGUUUAAAACACAAUCCGCGGUCCCACUCCAGGUCUUCUGAAUCUCCAGCGUGGGGCCUGGGAGACUGCGUUUAAUGUGGGCCCUGGGGAAUUCUUGAGCUCAGCGCUUCUGAGGAAACACUGACCUUUUCUGAGCCCUGAAUGAGGCUGCCCAGCACUGACAUUCAUUCAUUCGUUCAUUUGUUUAUUUGCUGUUUACGGAACAUCCACCGCAUUCACUGACCCACCCGCUCUAUUCCCCUCAGGAUCACUGGUCACGGUUCCCGAGUCCGCCUCCGAGCCCUAAUCGUCCCCUCCCUGCCGCCGUUCUGUCUUCGCCCUCCAUCCCUCCAACUGGCGUCAGCUCUUUCUCGCCUAGGCUUGGUCCCCAGGGAGCUCGGUGGACGGGAGACCCUCCCAAGCCCCGCCCUCGCCGGGGCAGCCGAGCCCACCUCCCCAGCCCGCGACUGCGCUCUGGGCCCCGCGCGCCCCGCCCCCACCGGCGUCCUGCGCUGAAGCUGCUCGGAGGGGCUCAGGCUUCGACCGCAUCGCCCCGGUUGCCGCUGCCCGCCGGGCAUCCCAGCCCUUCGGCGGAGAGGCGGAGCCGGAGGCUGGGGUGUGGGCUCCAGGUGGCCUCUGGGAAGGAUGAAGCAGGCCCUGGUGGACGAUACUGAGGAUGUGUCCCUGGACUUUGGCAACGAAGAGGAGCUGGCCUUUCGGAAAGCCAAGAUCAGGCACCCGUUGGCCACUUUUUUCCACCUGUUUUUCCGGGUGAGCGCCAUUGUCACCUACGUGUGCUGUGACUGGUUCAGCAGAAGCUUUGUGGGCUGUUUUGUCACCGUGCUUCUCCUCCUGUCCUUCGACUUCUGGUCAGUGAAGAAUGUAACUGGACGACUCAUGGUGGGCCUUCGCUGGUGGAACCAGAUAGAUGAAGAUGGGAAAAGCCACUGGAUUUUUGAAGCCAGAAAGGUCUCUCCAAAUAACACGGCUGCCACGGAAGCGGAAGCAAGGGUCUUCUGGCUCGGCCUCAUUAUCUGCCCGAUGAUCUGGAUCGUGUUCUUCUUUAGCUCCUUAUUUUCCUUGAAGCUCAAGUGGCUGGCCCUUGUGAUAGCUGGGAUCUCUCUCCAAGCCGCGAACCUGUACGGCUACGUCCUGUGUAAGCUGGGAGGCGAGAGUGACAUCAGCAAGGUCACAGCCAGUUUCCUGUCCCAGACGGUGUUCCAGACGGCCAGCCCAGGCGACUUUCAGAAGCCUGGCCUCGAGGGCCUGGAGAUUCACAAGCAUUAGGCUGAUUUUCCGAGGCAGUGAAGGCUUCAGUGAGAGGUUCUGUAAUCAGGUGAGCUUCUUACAUGACCCGCAGGCCACUGGUUUUCCACGUGAGGCUACAAAAGUCCUGGAUUCCUGGAAGACAGGACGCAGGCACAGAAGCAUGGACGGCUCGUCAGCCUCUCAGGAGGCCCUGCCCUGGGCUGGCGAGGCGGCAUCUGGGUGGGGCAGGGCCCCCAGAGGGCUUAAUCCCCCAAGAAGCCCUGUUUCAGCUGAUGCCCUGAACCUUCGAAAGCGAGCGGGGUACUGCCGGCUGCCCACCGUGGUCAUCACCACACGCGGGAGGCCUCACGCCAGCACGUCCUGCAGAUCGGGACUCCCAGAGAUGGUGUCAUUUCCCCUCCGCACCGUCUCACCGGGCCAGCUCUACUGAGGUCUCCUUCCUAUACCGCAGUCUUCACUUGCACCGUGCUUUCUGAACUGUGCUACAGUUCACGAUGCUGACGUACUGGAAGAUUUCUCACAGGCUCCUGGCUUCCAGGGCUGAGGGGGUCGUCCCAGACCCCACUCCCCCCACUGUCCCCAGCCGAGGCUGCACGGCAGUGCCAUUUACGAUCCUGAGUGGGAUCGCCUCAUACCCAGCCCACUGCUCAUUCAUGUCACGCCCUGGCCCGGUGGCCAUCUGGAUUCACAGACUGACUUGAACACUUACUCUGAAUUAUACUUCUGUAGGCUACAGUAGCUGGUGAAUCCGGUGCUUCAACGAAAAAAGACUGUCCUUUGUCGCAACUUUUACCUUAAAGAAGUGAAAGGAAGUUAACUCCAUGAAGGAGCCACCACGGGGACAUGAACCCGGGGCUCUUUCUGUGCCUGGGGCGCUAUGGCGAUGUGAGCCCACCUCGCUUGGCGUCUCCAGGACCUGGCUGGCCUCCCUCCACCUGGCUCGCAUCUCCUCGCGGCUCUGGCCGCUGCCCUCCUGUGGUGUCCCUGUAAGUCACCUGGAAUAUGCAGCACAUGCAAGCUCCAGGCCCCCUGAAGGAUGGACUGGGUAGCUCCCGGGUGGGCCCAGGAACCUGCAGGUCAAAGAUCAACCUAUUCCUUGGGUAAAAGAUAAUGACUGCACACGGGAAUAGAGCAUGGGAUGUAAAAGGUCACACGUGAAAAGUGAGUUCAAAAGAAAAGUGAGUUCAAAAGAGGCUACCAGUGUUUCAGGUGUCUUUCUAGAAAUAGUAUAUGCAUGUAAACAUGGCACGUAUACACAUUACACACUCACGCACUUAAAGCAACGAAUGGGUGUGUACGGUGCACACGUUCAGCCAUUGCCACCUCCGUGUGUAACUAUCUGGAAGGUCGUUCCACAGUGGCAUCGAUCUUGGCUAGUCUGUCUCAAGCCUGUCCACUCCAGUGCCUCUGGACAUGCAGGCUGUCUCUAGGACUGCAUGUCAUCGCAGCGUCCAGGGGAGCAUGAGACAGGGGCCUCAGGCAGGCGGUGUGCUCCCCUCCUCCUUCUGAUCCUGUUCCCUGGAUGCUGAGCUUGGCCGGAGAAGCAGGGUCAGUGGUUCCACGACCCAUGGCUACUCCCCAGGCUCCAGGUGGACCCUGGCCAGGCCAACUGUGAGCCCUGGUUUCCUCAGCUCCCCAGCAUGUCGCCCGGUGGGACAGGGACACCUGAGAGGGGGACGGCAGAGGAGGGGUCCCCAUGGCCCAGGUGAGGUGGGAAGCCCCAUGAAAAAGAUGGCAGGACCCCCCCAGGCAGGGCCACUACCCUCCUGCCAGCACAUUUGGUUCCCUGGCCCAGCAUUAUUUCGCUUUUUAAAUUCUGAAACAGCUUACUU